UGUUGUUGACAGAAGAUAGAGAGCACAGAUGAUGAUGUGCAAUGACUUUUUCUGCAUCUCACUCCUUUGUGCUCUCUAUGCUUCUGUCAUCACCUUC
Molecule: microRNA precursor, 97 nt
Filed under: Ricinus communis (castor bean)
Lineage: Eukaryota; Viridiplantae; Streptophyta; Magnoliopsida; Malpighiales; Euphorbiaceae
Description: miR156h stem-loop (rco-MIR156h)
Gene: rco-MIR156h
Source: miRBase by way of RNAcentral